RNAcentral lists this small RNA (394 nucleotides) under Histoplasma ohiense. Its description in RNAcentral is "hypothetical lncRNA". The record is from RNAcentral. Lineage: Eukaryota; Fungi; Ascomycota; Eurotiomycetes; Onygenales; Ajellomycetaceae.
AAAGCAGCUUCACGAUAAAAUUCGGCAGCUUCCCGUGCGUCCCAAAGAAAUGCGGAUGUAGCUAACUACCUGUCAGUUUUAGCAGCAAUUACAAGAGACAGUGGCAUGGGUGUAGCUACGUGGAAUCUAGAAUGAACCCACUGUAAUGCUUCGAGAACUGGUCGUGGUGCUAGUCUGCUGGUGCUGGUGAUGCUGCUGGUUGUUGUUGUGUUAUUGUGUUGUUGUUGUUGUUGUUGUUGUUGUUGCUGGAGAUGAAGUUGUCCACAUAUUUAUGCAAGGGGAAACGAUCCCGAGCUCGGUUGCCCAACCUGGGAGGAGGCUGAUUCCAUUUUGGGCAAUUGUCACCCCAGCCCAAUCCCUCCUUAUCAAACCGAAUAAGGUUCGAAUUGGAUAC